CCAACGCCGGCUGGAGACGCGUGUGCCACCAGCCCUGCUCCAGGAACGCCCCAGCAGCAGGAUCCAGAGCUCCAGCUUCAUCCCUGGGCCCCCAGCAUGGACCUGGGAGAGUGAGGGACACUGCUUUGAUUUACAGGUCCAAUGUUCUGAGAAUUUCUUGCAUUCUGGACUCCAACAGGAUACCUGCAGGCACCAGGAGGGGAGAGGGGUGAGACAGGAGCACACCAAGGGCUUUCACAUCACCCACAGCAGGCAGUGCAUGUUCAUCACUCCAGUCCCAGCCAAGGAGGGGAGCACCGGGAGUGGUGCCACAGGGCUUGGGGCAUUCCCAAAAGCGAGACCCUCCUCUCUCUCCCUUUUCCUUCAUGCUGCCCUUGUGUCAGAGGCUGGAAAGAUUGAUGCCUGGAGAUGUUUUGGGAUGCAGGUGCCUGGGGCAGGGGCAGUGCCCUGCUCCUCACACCCCACCCCUCUGGAGCCUGCAUCCCAGCCCUGCAGCAGUGCCAGUGGUGGGCACACAGGGAAAAAUGCUCCACACCUGCCCCUGGAGACCCUGACCCAGCUCCUGAGUGGCAAAGUGACCACAGGUCCCAGCUGGGAGAAGGGCUCAGGAAGGCCACGGGGUAUUUAAGGCUGAACACAAGGCCAUCAUGUUUAUCCAGACCCUUCCUCUCCUCCAUCAUCGCUGGAACCCAGGAGCUGGUAGCUAUGUGUGUGAUUUUCCAUACUUUUUUCUCUCUCUCCUUCUUCAAAUUCCUCUUCUUGGAAUAUUUUGAGUAACUUAACAUCAAAUAGGCUUAAUAUUUGCUAAGUUGAAUGGGCCAAGUUAAUGCUGUGAGAAAUGUUUUAUAUUGAUUGAAUGUUGUACCAAACCUUUUGCCAAACUUUUGCUGAUUUUCUGAAUUUUGUCGGUAAAGUCUUUUGUGUUGUUUUGA
Molecule: non-coding RNA, 932 nt
Organism: Sturnus vulgaris (Common starling)
Lineage: Eukaryota; Metazoa; Chordata; Aves; Passeriformes; Sturnidae
Source: RefSeq, a predicted model, not a curated record